RNAcentral lists this long non-coding RNA (319 nucleotides) under Panax ginseng (ginseng). RNAcentral's name for it is "long non-coding RNA (PGIN_LNC013515)". The record is from RNAcentral. Lineage: Eukaryota; Viridiplantae; Streptophyta; Magnoliopsida; Apiales; Araliaceae.
UUUGCGGAUGAAUUUCUGCUAAACCUUUUCGAAAAUGAAAAGAAUGUUCAUAAUAUGUUUCUUAAACCCUAUUCAUGGGUGGAGCCUAAUUUCAAGAAAUUGAAAGAGAGUUGUUAUGUGAAUUUUUUAUCAGUACAGAUUACUUCACAACUUUCGAUUCGUUGUAGAAGUGUUAUGUAAAGAGAAUACUUAUAUUCUUUCAGCUUAUAUAUAUAAUUGCUAUUACUUGCUGGGCACUCAAAUGCUCAUCCUUGCUUAAAUUAAAUGUUUUCAGUUACGUAUGAGCAACCUGAAGGCUCAGGCACGAACAAGGGGAAAG